Molecule: ribosomal RNA, 253 nt
Filed under: uncultured bacterium
Lineage: Bacteria
Description: partial 16S ribosomal RNA
Rfam family: Bacterial small subunit ribosomal RNA
Source: RNAcentral
UACGGGGGGGGCAAGCGUUGUUCGGAAUUACUGGGCGUAAAGGGCGCGUAGGCGGUCUACUAAGUUGGAUGUGAAAACUCUGGGCUUAACCCAGAGCCUGCAUUCAAAACUGAUAGGCUGGAGUUCUGGAGGGGAUAGCGGAAUUCCUGGUGUAGCGGUGAAAUGCGCAGAUAUCAGGAGGAACACCGGUGGCGAAGGCGGGAUCCUGGGCCAGUACUGACGCUGAGGCGCGAAAGCUGGGGGAGCAAACGGG